UACGAAGGGGGCUAGCGUUGUUCGGAAUUACUGGGCGUAAAGCGCGCGUAGGCGGCUUUUCAAGUCGAUUGUGAAAUCCCCGGGCUUAACCUGGGAACUGCAGUCGAGACUGUCUAGCUAGAGUAUGGGAGAGGGAAGUGGAAUUUCAGGUGUAGCGGUGAAAUGCGUAGAUAUCUGAAGGAACAUCAGUGGCGAAAGCGACUUCCUGGACCAAUACUGACGCUCAUGUGCGAAAGCGUGGGGAGCAAACAGG
Molecule: ribosomal RNA, 253 nt
Filed under: uncultured bacterium
Lineage: Bacteria
Description: partial 16S ribosomal RNA
Rfam family: Bacterial small subunit ribosomal RNA
Source: RNAcentral